UACGUAGGGUGCAAGCGUUGUCCGGAAUUAUUGGGCGUAAAGAGCUCGUAGGCGGUCUGUCACGUCGGCUGUGAAAACUCGGGGCUCAACUCCGAGCCUGCAGUCGAUACGGGCAGACUAGAGUUCGGUAGAGGCGUGUGGAAUUCCGGGUGUAGUGGUGAAAUGCGUAGAGAUCCGGAGGAACACCGAAGGCGAAGGCAGUGUCCUGGGGAGUACCUGACGCUCAGGUGCGAAAGCUAGGGGAGCGAACGGG
This 253-nucleotide ribosomal RNA is filed under the name uncultured bacterium. RNAcentral describes it as "partial 16S ribosomal RNA". It matches the Rfam family "Bacterial small subunit ribosomal RNA", at positions 524 to 776 of the family's 1533-position model. The record is from RNAcentral.